UCCUGACUGACCGAUAGUGAACCAGUACCGUGAGGGAAAGGCGAAAAGAACCCCGGCGAGGGGAGUGAAAAAGAACCUGAAACCGUGUACGUACAAGCAGUGGGAGCACGCUUAGGCGUGUGACUGCGUACCUUUUGUAUAAUGGGUCAGCGACUUAUAUUCUGUAGCAAGGUUAACCGAAUAGGGGAGCCGAAGGGAAACCGAGUCUUAACUGGGCGUUAAGUUGCAGGGUAUAGACCCGAAACCCGGUGAUCUAGCCAUGGGCAGGUUGAAGGUUGGGUAACACUAACUGGAGGACCGAACCGACUAAUGUUGAAAAAUUAGCGGAUGACUUGUGGCUGGGGGUGAAAGGCCAAUCAAACCGGGAGAUAGCUGGUUCUCCCCGAAAGCUAUUUAGGUAGCGCCUCGUGAAUUCAUCUCCGGGGGUAGAGCACUGUUUCGGCAAGGGGGUCAUCCCGACUUACCAACCCGAUGCAAACUGCGAAUACCGGAGAAUGUUAUCACGGGAGACACACGGCGGGUGCUAACGUCCGUCGUGAAGAGGGAAACAACCCAGACCGCCAGCUAAGGUCCCAAAGUCAUGGUUAAGUGGGAAACGAUGUGGGAAGGCCCAGACAGCCAGGAUGUUGGCUUAGAAGCAGCCAUCAUUUAAAGAAAGCGUAAUAGCUCACUGGUCGAGUCGGCCUGCGCGGAAGAUGUAACGGGGCUAAACCAUGCACCGAAGCUGCGGCAGCGACGCUUAUGCGUUGUUGGGUAGGGGAGCGUUCUGUAAGCCUGCGAAGGUGUGCUGUGAGGCAUGCUGGAGGUAUCAGAAGUGCGAAUGCUGACAUAAGUAACGAUAAAGCGGGUGAAAAGCCCGCUCGCCGGAAGACCAAGGGUUCCUGUCCAACGUUAAUCGGGGCAGGGUGAGUCGACCCCUAAGGCGAGGCCGAAAGGCGUAGUCGAUGGGAAACAGGUUAAUAUUCCUGUACUUGGUGUUACUGCGAAGGGGGGACGGAGAAGGCUAUGUUGGCCGGGCGACGGUUGUCCCGGUUUAAGCGUGUAGGCUGGUUUUCCAGGCAAAUCCGGAAAAUCAAGGCUGAGGCGUGAUGACGAGGCACUACGGUGCUGAAGCAACAAAUGCCCUGCUUCCAGGAAAAGCCUCUAAGCAUCAGGUAACAUCAAAUCGUACCCCAAACCGACACAGGUGGUCAGGUAGAGAAUACCAAGGCGCUUGAGAGAACUCGGGUGAAGGAACUAGGCAAAAUGGUGCCGUAACUUCGGGAGAAGGCACGCUGAUAUGUAGGUGAAGUCCCUUGCGGAUGGAGCUGAAAUCAGUCGAAGAUACCAGCUGGCUGCAACUGUUUAUUAAAAACACAGCACUGUGCAAACACGAAAGUGGACGUAUACGGUGUGACGCCUGCCCGGUGCCGGAAGGUUAAUUGAUGGGGUCAGCGCAAGCGAAGCUCUUGAUCGAAGCCCCGGUAAACGGCGGCCGUAACUAUAACGGUCCUAAGGUAGCGAAAUUCCUUGUCGGGUAAGUUCCGACCUGCACGAAUGGCGUAAUGAUGGCCAGGCUGUCUCCACCCGAGACUCAGUGAAAUUGAACUCGCUGUGAAGAUGCAGUGUACCCGCGGCAAGACGGAAAGACCCCGUGAACCUUUACUAUAGCUUGACACUGAACAUUGAGCCUUGAUGUGUAGGAUAGGUGGGAGGCUUUGAAGUGUGGACGCCAGUCUGCAUGGAGCCGGCCUUGAAAUACCACCCUUUAAUGUUUGAUGUUCUAACGUGGACCCGUGAUCCGGGUUGCGGACAGUGUCUGGUGGGUAGUUUGACUGGGGCGGUCUCCUCCUAAAGAGUAACGGAGGAGCACGAAGGUUGGCUAAUCCUGGUCGGACAUCAGGAGGUUAGUGCAAUGGCAUAAGCCAGCUUGACUGCGAGCGUGACGGCGCGAGCAGGUGCGAAAGCAGGUCAUAGUGAUCCGGUGGUUCUGAAUGGAAGGGCCAUCGCUCAACGGAUAAAAGGUACUCCGGGGAUAACAGGCUGAUACCGCCCAAGAGUUCAUAUCGACGGCGGUGUUUGGCACCUCGAUGUCGGCUCAUCACAUCCUGGGGCUGAAGUAGGUCCCAAGGGUAUGGCUGUUCGCCAUUUAAAGUGGUACGCGAGCUGGGUUUAGAACGUCGUGAGACAGUUCGGUCCCUAUCUGCCGUG
RNAcentral lists this ribosomal RNA (2190 nucleotides) under Shigella sonnei. RNAcentral's name for it is "partial 23S ribosomal RNA". It matches the Rfam family "Bacterial large subunit ribosomal RNA", at positions 474 to 2649 of the family's 2925-position model. Lineage: Bacteria; Pseudomonadati; Pseudomonadota; Gammaproteobacteria; Enterobacterales; Enterobacteriaceae. The record is from RNAcentral.